Long non-coding RNA from Tetranychus urticae (two-spotted spider mite), 1716 nucleotides. RefSeq lists it as uncharacterized. The record is from RefSeq and is a predicted model, not a curated record. NCBI's taxonomy places the organism in Eukaryota, Metazoa, Arthropoda, Arachnida, Trombidiformes, Tetranychidae.
AAAGUGAAAGGUAAACAGAAAUGAAUUCAAGUUAAUUAUAAACAUGAUCUUCAGUACAAAGACCUGGAUUUAAUUGAACUUAUUAUAAUUAAUCUGGUGAUCAUAAAAUGAUCCUCAAAAAGGCAACCAAACCAUUGAAUGUUAAUCACUAACAAGUAAGUUGUAAGUCAAAUAAUAUUUUUUUCGAUUCUAGUAAAUAGUUCAAAUUCAAUAAUCUGUAAUAUUUAGACAAUCAAAGGCUUAAUGCUUUGGUUAUUCAAUUUGAUAAUCCUAGGUUAACUGGUUAACCAAUGUUAUCGCCUGUCAAAUGAUUAAGGUAAUCAUUUUUAAUCUUGUUUGUGAUUAAUUUUGGUUACCUUGGUAGCUUGUUGACAUGGCAACCUGCCAUGUUUGAUGAGCAAUUAUGUCAAUCAGUGUAAAGUAUGAUUUAUGGUUCUUUACUUUUGUGAUAAAAAUUAUGCAAAUAAUUGCAAUUUUAUUAAUUUGUUAAUGAUUCUUUUAAAAAUGUUGUGACACAAAAAAAGCUUUCUCGCCAUUUUUAGGCCUUAAGUAGAUUCUGCUGUUCACUUUAUGGGAAGUGAACGAUGGUGUGAAUGAGUUUGACGGUGAUGUUGAUUGGAAAGAUGGUGAUGAUGUAUACAAUGACAGUGACGAUGAGGAUGAAGAUGACGAGGGAGUUGAUUUAGCUGAAUCAUUUGGUUUAACAUGUUUUUGUCUAUGGUCGCUCAAUGGUUCCUUGAAUGCAGCAUCAAACUCUUCUUCCUCAUUGGAUCGAUUCUUUCUCGGUUUAUCGUCAUAACUCUGACUCUCUUCUUUACCACCUUUUGCACUAUAACCGUAAUCCAUUGAACCAGAGUCAUCAUCAUUCUCGUCAUAACUUUCAUCUGGCUUGUAUUCAGCUUUGUACUCUGUUGACUUUCUCUUCUUUACCUCUUCUGGAGGAUUAUCUAUCAUUAUGUUUCUCAUCGCCACCCUACCCUCGGUUUUCAGCAGCGUAAUCAUCGUAUCCUUGGCUAGGCUUAUAAUAUUGAACUGGUUCCCCGUCAUUUUAUGGAUUGGAUGAUUUUGAUGAUUUAGAUGUUAAAUACUCGUCGCUUCCUCGAUAAUUAUAGCUUGGCUCAGAUGAUUGUUUCUUGUCAUUUUUAUCUGAUUUGUCAUAUGAACUCUUUGAAUAACCAGAAUCAUCUGACUGAUAUGAAGGUGUAUCUGAAUCACUUUUUGUAAAGCCCUCAGAAGCUUCUGGUAGUCCAUCUGAAUAGUCAUCAUAGCUUUCAGAUGCUGGGUUUUGAUGACGAAGAAGAGGAAAAAGGUUACGAGGAUGACGAUGACCGACCAGAUUUAUGGUUUAACGAUGAAGAUUGAGAUGACCCAUAGCAAGUUGUUGUUGACUUCUAUUUUGGUGCUGCUUCACGAUAGUUGUAAUCUAAUUGUUUAAAAAAUAGCAACAAGUUGAUUAAAAUCAAGAUUGAUCCUGUUGGUCUAUCAAGUCAAUAUUUUCGUUAAUGGAUUCACUUUAUUAAUAAAAGUUUUGUUGACUCGAGUUAUUACCGUUAAUGAACUAAAAUGAUUUAACUUAUCAACAUCUGAUGAAUAAUUUUUGCCAUCAUAGUUCAUAAUCAACUGUUGGAGCCAACCUAAUGAGUUAAACCUUGAUUUCAAGAUUAUUGUUUACCCAAAAAUAAAGCAAUAAAUUAAAAUCCUCAAAGUAAUACUAAA